UACGUAGGUGGCAAGCGUUGUCCGGAAUUAUUGGGCGUAAAGCGCGCGCAGGCGGUCCUUUAAGUCUGAUGUGAAAGCCCACGGCUCAACCGUGGAGGGUCAUUGGAAACUGGGGGACUUGAGUGCAGGAGAGAAGAGUGGAAUUCCACGUGUAGCGGUGAAAUGCGUAGAGAUGUGGAGGAACACCAGUGGCGAAGGCGACUCUUUGGCCUGUAACCGACGCUGAGGCGCGAAAGCGUGGGGAGCAAACAGG
RNAcentral lists this ribosomal RNA (253 nucleotides) under uncultured bacterium. Its description in RNAcentral is "partial 16S ribosomal RNA". It matches the Rfam family "Bacterial small subunit ribosomal RNA", at positions 524 to 776 of the family's 1533-position model. The record is from RNAcentral.